RNAcentral lists this ribosomal RNA (466 nucleotides) under uncultured bacterium. RNAcentral's name for it is "partial 16S ribosomal RNA". It matches the Rfam family "Bacterial small subunit ribosomal RNA", at positions 38 to 507 of the family's 1533-position model. The record is from RNAcentral.
GAGGAAAGAGGGAGGAGGGAGGAACACAGGUAAGUCGAACGGAAAGGCUCCUGCUUGCAGGGGUACUCGAGUGGCGAACGGGUGAGUAACACGUGGGUGAUCUGCUCUGCACUUCGGGAUAAGCCUGGGAAACUGGGUCUAAUACCGGAUAGGACGAUGGUUUGGAUGCCAUUGUGGAAAGUUUUUUCGGUGUGGGAUGAGCUCGCGGCCUAUCAGCUUGUUGGUGGGGUAAUGGCCUACCAAGGCGUCGACGGGGAGCCGGCCUGAGAGGGUGUACGGCCACAUUGGGACUGAGAUACGGCCCAGACUCCUACGGGAGGCAGCAGUGGGGAAUAUUGCACAAUGGGCGCAAGCCUGAUGCAGCGACGCCGCGUGGGGGAUUACAGCCUUCGGGUUGUAAACUCCUUUCGCUAGGGACGAAGCGCAAGUGACGGUACCUGGAGAAGAAGCACCGGCUAACUACGUU